GCCUUAGUAACGGCGAGUGAAGCGGCAACAGCUCAAAUUUGAAAUCUGGCCCUUGGGUCCGAGUUGUAAUUUGUAGAGGAUGCUUUUGGUGCGGUGCCUUCCGAGUUCCCUGGAACGGGACGCCAUAGAGGGUGAGAGCCCCGUCUGGUUGGACACUAAGCCUCUGUAAAGCUCCUUCGACGAGUCGAGUAGUUUGGGAAUGCUGCUCUAAAUGGGAGGUAUAUGUCUUCUAAAGCUAAAUAUUGGCCAGAGACCGAUAGCGCACAAGUAGAGUGAUCGAAAGAUGAAAAGCACUUUGAAAAGAGGGUUAAACAGUACGUGAAAUUGUUGAAAGGGAAGCGCUCGUGACCAGACUUGGGCCCGGUUAAUCAUCCACCGUUCUCGGUGGUGCACUUGGCCGGCCCAGGCCAGCAUCAGUUCGGCGUGGGGGAUAAAGGUAGCGGGAAUGUGGCUCCUCCGGGAGUGUUAUAGCCCGUUGCGCAAUGCCCUGUACCGGACUGAGGUUCGCGCAUCUGCAAGGAUGCUGGCGUAAUGGUUAUCAGCGACCCGUCU
RNAcentral lists this ribosomal RNA (552 nucleotides) under Microcera coccophila. RNAcentral describes it as "eukaryotic LSU rRNA". It matches the Rfam family "Eukaryotic large subunit ribosomal RNA", at positions 77 to 654 of the family's 3401-position model. The record is from RNAcentral. Lineage: Eukaryota; Fungi; Ascomycota; Sordariomycetes; Hypocreales; Nectriaceae.